GACGAACGCUGGCGGCGUGCUUAACACAUGCAAGUCGAACGGAAAGGCCCUGCUUUUGUGGGGUGCUCGAGUGGCGAACGGGUGAGUAACACGUGAGUAACCUGCCCUUGACUUUGGGAUAACUUCAGGAAACUGGGGCUAAUACCGGAUAGGAGCUCCUGCUUCAUGGUGGUGGUUGGAAAGUUUCGGCGUUUGGGGAUGGACUCGCGGCUUAUCAGCUUGUUGGUGGGGUAGUGGCUUACCAAGGCUAUGACGGGUAGCCGGCCUGAGAGGGUGAACGGCCACAAGGGGACUGAGAUACGGCCCUGACUCCUACGGGAGGCAGCAGUGGGGAAUAUUGGACAAUGGGCGGAAGGCUGAAGCAGCAACGCCGGGUGCGAGAAGACGGCCUUCGGGUAGUAAAACGGUUUCGCGUGUGACGAAGCGUGAGGGAGGUUACUGGAGAAGGAAGCACCGGCAAACUACGG
RNAcentral lists this ribosomal RNA (467 nucleotides) under uncultured bacterium. RNAcentral describes it as "partial 16S ribosomal RNA". It matches the Rfam family "Bacterial small subunit ribosomal RNA", at positions 28 to 506 of the family's 1533-position model. The record is from RNAcentral.